GACGAACGCUGGCGGCGUGCCUAAUACAUGCAAGUAGAACGCACAGUUUAUACCGUAGCUUGCUACACCAUAGACUGUGAGUUGCGAACGGGUGAGUAACGCGUAGGUAACCUGCCUGGUAGCGGGGGAUAACUAUUGGAAACGAUAGCUAAUACCGCAUAAUAUUGAUUAUUGCAUGAUAAUUAAUUGAAAGGUGCAAUUGCACCACUACCAGAUGGACCUGCGUUGUAUUAGCUAGUAGGUGAGGUAACGGCUCACCUAGGCGACGAUACAUAGCCGACCUGAGAGGGUGAUCGGCCACACUGGGACUGAGACACGGCCCAGACUCCUACGGGAGGCAGCAGUAGGGAAUCUUCGGCAAUGGACGAAAGUCUGACCGAGCAACGCCGCGUGAGUGAAGAAGGUUUUCGGAUCGUAAAGCUCUGUUGUAAGAGAAGAACGGGUGUGAGAGUGGAAAGUUCACACUGUGACGGUAUCUUACCAGAAAGGGACGGCUAACUGCGUG
Molecule: ribosomal RNA, 505 nt
Filed under: uncultured bacterium
Lineage: Bacteria
Description: partial 16S ribosomal RNA
Rfam family: Bacterial small subunit ribosomal RNA
Source: RNAcentral